CGCCCUUAGAGUUUGAUCCUGGCUCAGAUUGAACGCUGGCGGCAGGCCUAACACAUGCAAGUCGAACGGUAAAGCAGCUUGCUGCUUACGAGUGGCGGACGGGUGAGUAAUGUCUGGGAAGCUGCCUGAUGGAGGGGGAUAACUACUGGAAACGGUAGCUAAUACCGCAUAAUGUCGCAAGACCAAAGAGGUUCGUCUUGCCAUCGGAUGUGCCCAGAUGGGAUUAGCUUGUUGGUGGGGUAACGGCUCACCAAGGCGACGAUCCCUAGCUGGUCUGAGAGGAUGACCAGCCACACUGGAACUGAGACACGGUCCAGACUCCUACGGGAGGCAGCAGUGGGGAAUAUUGCACAAUGGGCGCAAGCCUGAUGCAGCCAUGCCGCGUGUAUGAAGAAGGCCUUCGGGUUGUAAAGUACUUUCAGCGGGGAGGAAGGGAGUAAAGUAAUCUUUGCUCUUGACGUUACCCGCAGAAGAAGCACCGGCUAACUCCGUGCCAGCAGCCGCGGUAAUACGGAGGGUGCAAGCGUUAAUCGGAAUUACUGGGCGUAAAGCGCACGCAGGCGGUUUGUUAAGUCAGAUGUGAAAUCCCCGGGCUCAACCUGGGAACUGCAUCUGAUACUGGCAAGCUUGAGUCUCGUAGAGGGGGGUAGAAUUCCAGGUGUAGCGGUGAAAUGCGUAGAGAUCUGGAGGAAUACCGGUGGCGAAGGCGGCCCCCUGGACGAGACUGACGCUCAGGUGCGAAAGCGUGGGGAGCAAACAGGAUUAGAUACCCUGGUAGUCCACGCCGUAAACGAUGUCGACUUGGAGGUUGUGCUCUUGAGGCGUGGCUUCCGGAGCUAACGCGUUAAGUCGACCGCCUGGGGAGUACGGCCGCAAGGUUAAAACUCAAAUGAAUUG
This 897-nucleotide ribosomal RNA is filed under the name uncultured Shigella sp. RNAcentral describes it as "bacterial SSU rRNA". It matches the Rfam family "Bacterial small subunit ribosomal RNA", at positions 1 to 912 of the family's 1533-position model. The record is from RNAcentral. Lineage: Bacteria; Pseudomonadati; Pseudomonadota; Gammaproteobacteria; Enterobacterales; Enterobacteriaceae.